Molecule: ribosomal RNA, 367 nt
Filed under: uncultured Bacteroidota bacterium
Lineage: Bacteria; Pseudomonadati; Bacteroidota
Description: bacterial SSU rRNA
Rfam family: Bacterial small subunit ribosomal RNA
Source: RNAcentral
GGAGGGUGCAAGCGUUAUCCGGAUUCACUGGGUUUAAAGGGUGCGUAGGCGGAUUAGUAAGUCCGUGGUGAAAUCUCCAAGCUUAACUUGGAAACUGCCGUGGAUACUAUUAGUCUUGAAUGUUGUGGAGGUUAGCGGAAUAUGUCAUGUAGCGGUGAAAUGCAUAGAUAUGACAUAGAACACCAAUUGCGAAGGCAGCUGGCUACACAAAUAUUGACGCUGAUGCACGAAAGCGUGGGGAUCAAACAGGAUUAGAUACCCUGGUAGUCCACGCCCUAAACGAUGAUUACUCGACAUUUGCGAUAUACAGUAAGUGUCUGAGCGAAAGCAUUAAGUAAUCCACCUGGGAAGUACGACCGCAAGGUUG